UACGGAUGGUGCAAGCGUUGUUCGGAAUCAUUGGGCGUAAAGCGCGUGUAGGCGGCUAUCUAAGUCUGAUGUGAAAGCCCGGGGCUUAACCCCGGAAGUGCAUUGGAAACUGGAUGGCUAGAGGACGAGAGAGGGAAGUGGAAUUCCUGGUGUAGGGGUGGAAUCCGUAGAUAUCAGGAGGAACAUCGGAGGCGAAGGCGGCUUCCUGGCUCGUUUCUGACGCUGAGACGCGAAAGCGCGGGGAGCAAACAGG
Molecule: ribosomal RNA, 253 nt
Filed under: uncultured bacterium
Lineage: Bacteria
Description: partial 16S ribosomal RNA
Rfam family: Bacterial small subunit ribosomal RNA
Source: RNAcentral